This 74-nucleotide transfer RNA is filed under the name Dendronephthya gigantea. Its description in RNAcentral is "tRNA-Asn". It matches the Rfam family "tRNA". From Rfam's summary of the family: Transfer RNA (tRNA) molecules are approximately 80 nucleotides in length. Their secondary structure includes four short double-helical elements and three loops (D, anti-codon, and T loops). The record is from RNAcentral. Lineage: Eukaryota; Metazoa; Cnidaria; Anthozoa; Malacalcyonacea; Nephtheidae.
GUUUCUGUGGCGCAAUCGGUUAGCGCGUUCGGCUGUUAACCGAAAGGUUGAUGGUUCAAAUCCAUCCAGAAACG